RNAcentral lists this long non-coding RNA (275 nucleotides) under Elaeis guineensis (African oil palm). RNAcentral's name for it is "long non-coding RNA (EGUI_LNC075866)". The record is from RNAcentral. Lineage: Eukaryota; Viridiplantae; Streptophyta; Magnoliopsida; Arecales; Arecaceae.
AGAACUGACUUGAGCGUCGGAGGGUCUUGUCGGAGCAACCCCACCUCCGGUUUAGACUUCCUUUGCAGGUCCCGGCGGCGACCGCGGCUUCCCCAACUCCAGCUUCUCCGGCGCAGGCAGAUUUUUGCACCAACAAUUCCGAUUCUAAUUUUAAUUCCAGUCAUAAACUAAUUGCAUUGGGGAAUAUGGUUAACAUAAUUCCCAUUCCAAUCUAUUUCUAUUUUGAUUCCAGUCACGAACUAAAUACAUUAGAGAAUAUAGUUAUUAUGGUAUAG